Molecule: long non-coding RNA, 235 nt
Filed under: Capsella rubella
Lineage: Eukaryota; Viridiplantae; Streptophyta; Magnoliopsida; Brassicales; Brassicaceae
Description: long non-coding RNA (CRUB_LNC000309)
Source: RNAcentral
UCAGUGUUAAAUACAUAUUUUUGUUUCUUUGCCCAGUUACCAGACACAACAAUCACUGGAACCGGAUGAUCCAUCAACGAAAAUGAAGAACAGAAGUGAAAAUGCAGAAAAGAAGUGAAGAACAGAAGUGAAAAUGAAGAACAGAAGUGAAAAUGAAAAACAGAAGUGAAGUGAAGAACAUAAAAUGAAGAACAGAGUGUAAGAAAAAACACGAGCUAAUGCGGGACCUUUCGUA